This 70-nucleotide transfer RNA is filed under the name Boana albopunctata (spotted treefrog). RNAcentral's name for it is "tRNA-Trp". It matches the Rfam family "tRNA". From Rfam's summary of the family: Transfer RNA (tRNA) molecules are approximately 80 nucleotides in length. Lineage: Eukaryota; Metazoa; Chordata; Amphibia; Anura; Hylidae. The record is from RNAcentral.
AGAAACUUAGGAUAAAUUAGACCAAGGGCCUUCAAAGCCCUAAGCAGAAGUUAAAGUCUUCUAGUUUCUG